UUUGNNAAGUCAGAUGUGAAAUCCCCGGGNUNAACCUGGGAANUGCAUCUGAUACUGGCAAGCUNGAGUNUCGNAGAGGGGGGUAGAAUUCCNGGUGUAGCGGUGAANUGCGUAGAGAUCNGGAGGAAUACCCGGUGGCGANGGCGGCCCCCUGGACGAAGACUGACGCUCAGGUGCGAAAGCGUGGGGAGCAAACAGGAUNAGAUACCCUGGUAGUNCACGCCGUNAACGAUGUCGACUNGGAGGUUGUGCCCNUGAGGCGUGGCUUCCGGAGCUAACGCGUUAAGUCGACCGCCUGGGGAGUACAGCCGCAAGGUUAAAACUCAAAUGAAUUGACGGGGGCCCGCACAAGCGGUGGAGCAUGUGGUUUAAUUCGAUGCAACGCGAAGAACCUUACCUGGUCUUGACAUCCACGGAAGUUUUCAGAGAUGAGAAUGUGCCUUCGGGAACCGUGAGACAGGUGCUGCAUGGCUGUCGUCAGCUCGUGUUGUGAAAUGUUGGGUUAAGUCCCGCAACGAGCGCAACCCUUAUCCUUUGUUGCCAGCGGUCCGGCCGGGAACUCAAAGGAGACUGCCAGUGAUAAACUGGAGGAAGGUGGGGAUGACGUCAAGUCAUCAUGGCCCUUACGACCAGGGCUACACACGUGCUACAAUGGCGCAUACAAAGAGAAGCGACCUCGCGAGAGCAAGCGGACCUCAUAAAGUGCGUCGUAGUCCGGAUUGGAGUCUGCAACUCGACUCCAUGAAGUCGGAAUCGCUAGUAAUCGUGGAUCAGAAUGCCACGGUGAAUACGUUCCCGGGCCUUGUACACACCGCCCGUCACACCAUGGGAGUGGGUUGCAAAAGAAGUAGGUAGCUUAACCUUCGGGAGGGCGCUUACCACUUUGUGAUUCAUGACUGGGGUGAAGUCGUAACAAGGUAGCAAUCACUAGUGAAUUCGCGGCCGCCUGCAGGUCGACCAUAUGGGAGAGNNCCC
This 975-nucleotide ribosomal RNA is filed under the name uncultured Enterobacteriaceae bacterium. RNAcentral describes it as "bacterial SSU rRNA". It matches the Rfam family "Bacterial small subunit ribosomal RNA", at positions 579 to 1533 of the family's 1533-position model. Lineage: Bacteria; Pseudomonadati; Pseudomonadota; Gammaproteobacteria; Enterobacterales; Enterobacteriaceae. The record is from RNAcentral.